CUUUGUUUUCUCUAUUUACCAGUAAAUACAUUCUAGCUUAUAAACUCCCUUGUUAGCAGUUUUGUAGAUUCAGCCUUCUUUGGGGUUCUGUAUGUAAGCAUAAGACAGCCACCCCACAGCUCUGGAUGACUCAGUUCCUGUCACUCCACUUUUCUACUCAGCUUCCAGAGAGAAGACAGUGCACAGUUUACCCUAACUCUUCUAGUCUCCUUUGCAGAGAGUACUUCUCCAGUCUGUUCCUAAAAGCCUCCAGAGAUGAUGGGCCCAGCCCAGCUCAGCUCUGUACAACAGAUUCUUCUCCCCAGAGCAGCUCAGUAUUCCAGAUGCUGGCUGCUGGUGAAUCCUGUGCCAGGACAGAUUAUCUACAAUACCCAUUGGUGGGAAGGUUUUUGGGUUUUGAAGGAUUUCUGC
Molecule: long non-coding RNA, 411 nt
Filed under: Numida meleagris (helmeted guineafowl)
Lineage: Eukaryota; Metazoa; Chordata; Aves; Galliformes; Numididae
Description: lncRNA (ENSNMEG00000012462.1)
Source: RNAcentral